Molecule: ribosomal RNA, 253 nt
Filed under: uncultured bacterium
Lineage: Bacteria
Description: partial 16S ribosomal RNA
Rfam family: Bacterial small subunit ribosomal RNA
Source: RNAcentral
UACAGAGGGGGCAAGCGUUGUUCGGAAUUACUGGGCGUAAAGGGCGCGUAGGCGGCCUUCUAAGUCAUGCGUGAAAUCCCCGGGCUCAACCCGGGAACUGCGUCUGAUACUGGAAGGCUUGAAUCCGGGAGAGGGAUGCGGAAUUCUAGGUGUAGCGGUGAAAUGCGUAGAUAUCUGGAGGAACACCGGUGGCGAAGGCGGCAUCCUGGACCGGUAUUGACGCUGAGGCGCGAAAGCCAGGGGAGCAAACGGG